RNAcentral lists this long non-coding RNA (610 nucleotides) under Homo sapiens (human). RNAcentral describes it as "HSALNT0356849". Lineage: Eukaryota; Metazoa; Chordata; Mammalia; Primates; Hominidae. The record is from RNAcentral.
UCUCUCUCCCCCUCCCUCUUCCUCUCCUUUUCCCCUUGCCUUUCCUCCCCCUUCCUCUCCCCCUUCCUCUCUCCCUUCCCUUCCAUGAGACCCUCCCCAACCCAUCUCUGCAUCUCCCAGCUCCUCCCACUCCUGCUCCUCCCUCGCCCUGCCCCCCUCCACCUAUCCCAACUCCACUCAUCCGCAGCCCAAACACUGAUCUGUUUUAGUUUGCAUUUUCUAGAGUCGUCCAUAAAUGGAAUCAUCCCAUAUGUACUUGAUUUUGUCUGGCUUCUUUCACUCAACAUAGUUACUUUGACAUGCCUGCGUGUUUUUGCAUGGAACAAUCAUUCAUUGCUUCCUGAGCAGUAUUCCAUUUAUGGAUAUACCACCGUGUGUUUAGUCAGCACUUGAUUUAGCCUGCUUUCAAUUUUUCCUGAUUAGAACUACAGCUGCUAGGAACAUCCCUGUGCAAAUCUUUGUACAGACAUAUACGGUUUUUCCUCUCUGGGGUAAAUACCUGGAAGUGGAAUGCCCAGGUCGUAAGCCUAACCUGAACUUAAGCCGGCAGAUGAGGAUAAGGCUCCCCAGCCUCCCGGAACAAGCAGACAGUUAUUAAUGGAAAUGUUCC